AGUGAACGCUGGCGGUAGGCCUAACACAUGCAAGUCGAACGGCAGCACAGUAAGAGCUUGCUCUUACGGGUGGCGAGUGGCGGACGGGUGAGGAAUACAUCGGAAUCUACUUUUUCGUGGGGGAUAACGUAGGGAAACUUACGCUAAUACCGCAUACGACCUACGGGUGAAAGCAGGGGAUCUUCGGACCUUGCGCGAUUGAAUGAGCCGAUGUCGGAUUAGCUAGUUGGCGGGGUAAAGGCCCACCGAGGCGACGAUCCGUAGCUGGUCUGAGAGGAUGGUCAGCCACACUGGAACUGAGACACGGUCCAGACUCCUACGGGAGGCAGCAGUGGGGAAUAUUGGACAAUGGGCGCAAGCCUGAUCCAGCCAUACCGCGUGGGUGAAGAAGGCCUUCGGGUUGUAAAGCCCUUUUGUUGGGAAAGAAAAGCAGCAGGUUAAUACCCCGCUGUUCUGACGGUACCCAAAGAAUAAGCACCGGCUAACUUCGUG
RNAcentral lists this ribosomal RNA (492 nucleotides) under uncultured bacterium. Its description in RNAcentral is "partial 16S ribosomal RNA". It matches the Rfam family "Bacterial small subunit ribosomal RNA", at positions 29 to 507 of the family's 1533-position model. The record is from RNAcentral.